RNAcentral lists this long non-coding RNA (310 nucleotides) under Nicotiana benthamiana. Its description in RNAcentral is "long non-coding RNA (NBEN_LNC040015)". Lineage: Eukaryota; Viridiplantae; Streptophyta; Magnoliopsida; Solanales; Solanaceae. The record is from RNAcentral.
UAUUUAAUUGUGAUCUUGAUCCGACAACUUAAACUCAAGACUUGGCUUCUCUCGUAAAAAUAUUUUUAACAAAUCAUGCAUAUAUAAUUUAGAGCAAAAUGAUUUUAAAUAAUGCAUAUUUACUUUAGUUAAUAUGAUUUUUAAACAUGCCUCUAAAAUCUUGACUAAGAUACUCGAUUAUGUACUUAUGAUAAUCGAUUAUAUUUAAGUCAGCUGCUUAACAAUCGAUUGUGAACUUAUGACAAUCGAUUGUGUUAAGGCAGUGAGCAUCAGAUUUUUCAAAUCUGCAUGACAAUCGAUUGUGAACCUN